This is a non-coding RNA of Schizosaccharomyces pombe (fission yeast), 465 nucleotides long. NCBI's taxonomy places the organism in Eukaryota, Fungi, Ascomycota, Schizosaccharomycetes, Schizosaccharomycetales, Schizosaccharomycetaceae. The record is from the annotation of a GenBank genome assembly.
CUUUGGGUAUAUGAGUGUAUGAAAAUUCGACUCAAGCUCCUGUUAACACUUGAUCUUUCUUUUGAAUCGCGAAUAGCAUUGACUCCGAUAUCUCGGUUCAAUUUUUUUGAGUAAAUAGUAAACGUACGUUUCAUAAAACUAACUUUAACAAAAAAUUAUCUACUUAGUGAAUUAGUUCUCACUUGGAUAAAUACUUGUUUUUGUCAAGCUUUUAGCAUGGUCAAUUGAUAUCAAAAGGAACUCACUCCAAAAAAAAUCGACCCCACUUGGGUCCAUGAACCUCUCUUGUCUUGCAUCUCUCAAGGACUGGAUGGAUGUGGGGGUUCGGGGAAUCAAGAGUUUUCAAUGGAGUAAGUGCAAUCAAAUAAAUCAAAGCGACAAAGGAUUAGAGCGAGGAGACGAGAAAAGAUGGAAAUACAAUGAGUAAAUUCGUAUUAAAAUUGAUAUCGUUUUAACGAAGGAAAA